AUGACUUUCUGGACCACUCAUCAGCCUUCCCCCACUCAUCUCUCCAAAACUAAAAGUGCUUACCUGGCUAUUCCUCAUGGGCAUGUUGCUCUAUGCCUUUGCUCUCCUCACUGCCCUUGUCUGGACAUUCCUCCACUCCAACCCGAAGGCUGUAUCCUUGGUCGACAUGGAGCUACUGUGAUAUCUCCCUUCUGUUCUUUGUUGCAUCAUGAGAGUUCCAGACACCCCCCCUGCUCCAGACUUGCUGACUUGGUGCCUGUGUUGGUUAGAAUUGUCAGCUGUUGGGAAAGGUGUGGAGAAAGUGAAUCAAGUGGGAAGAAGUCAACGAGUGUGAAUAAAGCUGGGCUGCAAUGAGACAGAACUAGAGCAAGAUGUCAAGGACAUGAAACGGGGGCUUGGAGAACUACUGACAGUGCAGAGGAAGGCAGGAAACUGUUUGGGCUUGCAGAGGAGUUCAGGUAUGUGUGAGCACAACCCUUGUGCUGAGCAUCUACUAUGAGCUAACAGCAACAAGGAAAGGCAGCUUCCUUAUCCAAGUAGGGGUGGGAAAACACAAGUGGCCAGUUCCUGUGCUAUUCUUCCUUGGGAAAACCCUUCUGGAUAUCAGCGAGCUCCUCACUGAUCUUUGUGCCUCUGGAUUUACAGAGUGCCUGUGUGCAUCCCCAAACCAAUGCAGCAUUUGUGACAGCUGAAUAAGUGGAGAUGGUAAACCUGAGGAGGACAGGGCCCAACAGCAUCCAUGGCAGAGCAUCACCUGGGACCGUGACAUAGCCCAUUCUUGGCUCCCCCUGCUCCUGGGAUGGGGAUGGCUACAGGGAUAAGGACAGGCUUGUUCCCAGGGUGAAUGUGGUGUUUCUGCCCUCCAUCUCCUCUCCAGGUGCUGUCUGCUAAUCUUCCCUGCUCACACCAUAAGCCCUUUUGUCUUUCCCUCCCCACUGGGCUGGGUUGAUGAAGCCAAUUUAGGAUCCCAUGUUGCUAAGCAACAAUUAUUAUCCCUGACAACAGGAAUAAAUUGAGUUUCCCCCAUCUCCA
This 1032-nucleotide long non-coding RNA is filed under the name Coturnix japonica (Japanese quail). Its description in RNAcentral is "lncRNA (ENSCJPG00005006865.1)". The record is from RNAcentral. Lineage: Eukaryota; Metazoa; Chordata; Aves; Galliformes; Phasianidae.